Molecule: ribosomal RNA, 480 nt
Filed under: uncultured bacterium
Lineage: Bacteria
Description: partial 16S ribosomal RNA
Rfam family: Bacterial small subunit ribosomal RNA
Source: RNAcentral
GACGAACGCUGGCGGCACGCUUAACACAUGCAAGUCGAACGAGAUCCUCGGAGCUUGCUCCGAGGGGACAGUGGCGAACGGGUGAGUAACACGUGAGGAACCUGCCCCGAAGACCGGAAUAACACCGGGAAACCGGUGCUAAUACCGGAUGCCCUCACCGGACCGCAUGAUCCGGUGAGGAAAUGGAUUCCGCUUCGGGAUGGCCUCGCGGCCUAUCAGCUUGUUGGUGGGGUCACGGCCUACCAAGGCUUCGACGGGUAGCUGGUCUGAGAGGAUGUCCAGCCACACUGGGACUGAGACACGGCCCAGACUCCUACGGGAGGCAGCAGUGGGGAAUCUUGCGCAAUGGACGAAAGUCUGACGCAGCGAUGCCGCGUGCGGGAUGAAGGCCCUCGGGUUGUAAACCGCUUUCAGCAGGGACGAAAUUGACGGUACCUGCAGAAGAAGCCCCGGCCAACUACGUGCCAGCCGCCGCAGUAA